UACGGGGGGGGCAAGCGUUGUUCGGAAUUACUGGGCGUAAAGGGCUCGUAGGCGGCCAACUAAGUCAGACGUGAAAUCCCUCGGCUUAACCGGGGAACUGCAUCUGAUACUGGAUGGCUUGAGUUCGGGAGAGGGAUGCGGAAUUCCAGGUGUAGCGGUGAAAUGCGUAGAUAUCUGGAAGAACACCCGUGGCGAAGGCGGCUCUCUGGGACGGUACUGACGCUGAGACGCGAAAGCGUGGGGAGCGAACAGG
This 253-nucleotide ribosomal RNA is filed under the name uncultured bacterium. RNAcentral's name for it is "partial 16S ribosomal RNA". It matches the Rfam family "Bacterial small subunit ribosomal RNA", at positions 524 to 776 of the family's 1533-position model. The record is from RNAcentral.